Molecule: ribosomal RNA, 440 nt
Filed under: uncultured bacterium
Lineage: Bacteria
Description: partial 16S ribosomal RNA
Rfam family: Bacterial small subunit ribosomal RNA
Source: RNAcentral
CCUACGGGCGGCAGCAGUGGGGGAUAUUGCACAAUGGGGGAAACCCUGAUGCAGCGAAGCCGCGUGAGUGAAGAAGUAUUUCGGUAUGUAAAGCUCUAUCAGCAGGGAAGAAAAUGACAGUACCUGACCAAGAAGCCCCUGCUAACUACGUGCCAGCAGCCGUGGUACUACGUAGGGGGCAAGCGUUAUCCGGAUUUACUGGGUGUAAAGGGAGCGUAGUGGGUUAUGUAAGUCUGGAGUGAAAGCCCGGGGCCCAACCCCCGGACUGCUUUGGAAACCGGGUAACUGGAGUACAGGAGGGGCAGGCGGAAUGCCUGGUGUAGCGGUGAAAUGCGUAGAUAUCAGGAAGAACACCGGCGGCGAAGGCGGCCUGCUGGACUGAAACUGACGUUGAGGCUCGAAAGCGUGGGGAGCAAACAGGAUUAGAUACCCUUGUAGUC